This 71-nucleotide transfer RNA is filed under the name Spratelloides gracilis (silver-stripe round herring). RNAcentral describes it as "tRNA-Gln". It matches the Rfam family "tRNA". Rfam says of the family: Transfer RNA (tRNA) molecules are approximately 80 nucleotides in length. The record is from RNAcentral. Lineage: Eukaryota; Metazoa; Chordata; Actinopteri; Clupeiformes; Clupeidae.
UAGAAAGUGGUGUAGUGGAAGCACCUGGAGUUUUGAUCUCCAGCGGGUGGGUUCGAGUCCCUCCUUUCUAA